UCGAAAUUGGUGUCGUCUAAUAAAUGAACAAAAUUUUUGACCGUCAUAACAGGUGGAUUUUUGGCCGUAGCAAGUUCUCUAUAAGCCAACCCUUCUUGACGACCCCUAAAAAUGGACUUCGCAACUAUGGGAUUCUCCAUAUUCUUAUGAAAAUUUUGAAGUUUUCUUGAAAAUUUGUUUCGAGAUAGAUACCCACGAAUUAAAGAUUGUAACAAUACAAUUUCAGGAAUAAAAGAAUCUAACUGAACUUCAGUAUAAUUCACAUCAUCUCGUAAAAGAAUUGCACGGACUGCAGAUUGCAUAAACACGAUAUCUGGUAAUCGCUUUAACAAAUAGUCGUUACAAUAAUCAAUUUUGGUUCGAGUAAUGAAUCCCCGAUAAAGAGAUUGGGCUUUAAUGACAGAUAGGUGCGAUUUUUGAAAAGAAUCAUAAAUGCUUUCCAAGUUUUUUCUUAAAAGAAAAGCCCGAACAAUUGCCUGUAGAGCAAUGAAAGAGGAUGUUGAUGCUUUUAAUUUCUCCAAUUUC
Molecule: non-coding RNA, 525 nt
Organism: Schizosaccharomyces pombe (fission yeast)
Lineage: Eukaryota; Fungi; Ascomycota; Schizosaccharomycetes; Schizosaccharomycetales; Schizosaccharomycetaceae
Source: the annotation of a GenBank genome assembly